CACAAGCGGUGGAGCAUGUGGUUUAAUUUCGAUGCAACGCGAAGAACCUUACCGUGGGCUUUGACAUCCCGGGAACUCCCUUGGAAACAAGGGAGUGCCGUUCGGGAACCUGGAGACAGGUGCUGCAUGGCUGUCGUCAGCUCGUGUCGUGAGGUGUUAGGUUAAGUCCUGCAACGAGCGCAACUCUCGUCGCUAGUUAAUUUCUCUAGCGAUACUGCCCGUAAAACGUGGAGGAAGGUGGGGAUGACGUCAAGUCAGCAUGGCCUUUAUGUCUUGGGCUACACACACGCUACAAUGGAUGGUACAAAGGGUUGCCAAAGAGCGAUCUGGAGCUAAUCCCAAAAAACCAUCCUCAGUUCAGAUUGCAGGCUGCAAUGCCUGCAUGAAGUUGGAGUUGCUAGUAACCGCAGGUCAGCACACUGCGGUGAAUACGUUCUCGGGCCUU
Molecule: ribosomal RNA, 445 nt
Filed under: uncultured Chloroflexota bacterium
Lineage: Bacteria; Bacillati; Chloroflexota
Description: bacterial SSU rRNA
Rfam family: Bacterial small subunit ribosomal RNA
Source: RNAcentral